Molecule: ribosomal RNA, 385 nt
Filed under: uncultured bacterium
Lineage: Bacteria
Description: bacterial SSU rRNA
Rfam family: Bacterial small subunit ribosomal RNA
Source: RNAcentral
AUUGAACGCUGGCGGCAUGCCUUACACAUGCAAGUCGAACGGUAACGCGGGGCAACCUGGCGACGAGUGGCGAACGGGUGAGUAAUAUAUCGGAACGUGCCCAAUAGUGGGGGAUAGCCCGGCGAAAGCCGGAUUAAUACCGCAUACGACCUGAGGGUGAAAGCGGGGGAUCGCAAGACCUCGCGCUAUUGGAGCGGCCGAUAUCAGAUUAGGUAGUUGGUGGGGGUAAAAGCCUACCAAGCCUACGAUCUGUAGCUGGUCUGAGAGGACGACCAGCCACACUGGGACUGAGACACGGCCCAGACUCCUACGGGAGGCAGCAGUGGGGAAUUUUGGACAAUGGGCGCAAGCCUGAUCCAGCCAUGCCGCGUGCGGGAAGAAGGCC